ACAAAUUAGGCACUGGAUGUGUCCUAUUUGGAGUCUAGACUUGGGAGAUAUGGCAUUGGGAAGGAAGGGUUGCGUAAAAGGAAAUUUUGGGCGAGUCAGAUUUUAUGGAAAUCAAGUUUGCAUAAUUUCCAAUCAAGGAGCUCGUGCAAGGGAAGGUGGAGCACGCCCCAAGGCUGUCCAAGGGUAUAAAUAUGACCCCCUAAGCGCUCUCAAUGGAGGAUCCAUCCACCAGAACUCAACGAAAAUAAGGGCAAUCUCUCUUGUGCCUUCGACAGUUCAGUUAAAGAUUUCUGUAUCAGCAAUUUGUUUCCCCAUUUUCUCAAAGAACGCAUAAAACCUGUUGCCUCACCGUAUCAAAAGAUCAAGCAGAAGAGUCCUCUUCUUCAAGAAGAGUUUUUCAUUAACUCUUCCGCAGCAAUGCCCGGGCAAUAAAACAAUCUGAGCAAAUCUGCUAAACAAUAUAUCAUUUCAAACGGUAUGUGCUGGUUGGAUAGAGCAAUCAGUAGUUGACGUUCGAACCAAUCUUCUCUCUAGUAGACUUUAGAUUCCGUCAUCCGUUUGUUUUGUUUUGAAUUGACAUAGAGAAAUCUUCCCACUACGUAAUUAAGGAAUAGGUGGCAAAGGAGAAUGUUCUUGCUUUUAUUCUAAAUUCACUAGAGGGAGCUGAGGGCCGCUACAAGUCUUCGAAGUUAUCUAGAAGAUGGCUUAGGCCGACCCUAGCCGCUAUGGCCUCCCUGCACGGUUGUGC
RNAcentral lists this long non-coding RNA (748 nucleotides) under Setaria viridis. RNAcentral describes it as "long non-coding RNA (SVIR_LNC004175)". Lineage: Eukaryota; Viridiplantae; Streptophyta; Magnoliopsida; Poales; Poaceae. The record is from RNAcentral.